AUGGGGAAUUUCGCAUCGAGUGAUGCUUCUUCAGUCAAAGAGGCGCAAAGGGUAUCAGCAACCAGCUCCACACCACCGGUGAACUGCUGCCGGGUGCCCAAGGACUCAAGGACAAGGAGGACGCACCACUGGGACUCUGGGAGCAUUCAAGAUUGGUUGGAGAUGGCGGAAUUGGCCGAGCCGCGGGUGUACAGCUGCCGCCAUUGCCGGAACCGCGUCUGCCUCCACGACGAUAUCAUCUCCAAGGCCUUCCAGGGGAGGAAUGGCUGCGCAUUUCUCUCCUCUCACGCCAUGAACAUCACCACGGGGGCCAAGGAGGACAGGCAGUUCAUGACGGGGCUUCACACGGUCGCCGACAUCCACUGCCGUGACUGCCGCGAGGUGCUCGGAUGGAAGUACGAGAGAGCCUACGAGGAAUCCCAAAAGUACAAGGAAGGCAAGUUCAUAUUUGAAAAGGACAAGAUCGUGCAGAAGAAUAGAGAGAUGGCGGAACUGGUUGGGCCGCGGGUGUACAGCUGCCGCCAUUGCCGGAACCACGUCUGCCUCCAUGACGAUAUUAUCUCCAAGGCCUUCCAGGUGAACAACUUCACCCAGGGAAGGAUAAUUUAUUUUCUUUUCCUUGGUCAUUACUGA
RNAcentral lists this ribosomal RNA (633 nucleotides) under Triticum aestivum (bread wheat). RNAcentral describes it as "partial small subunit ribosomal RNA". Lineage: Eukaryota; Viridiplantae; Streptophyta; Magnoliopsida; Poales; Poaceae. The record is from RNAcentral.